This is a long non-coding RNA of Oncorhynchus keta (chum salmon), 723 nucleotides long. RefSeq lists it as uncharacterized. Lineage: Eukaryota; Metazoa; Chordata; Actinopteri; Salmoniformes; Salmonidae. The transcript is spliced from 4 exons. The record is from RefSeq and is a predicted model, not a curated record.
CCCGGAUCAACCCUGGUCAGAGAUGAGGUGACGAUCCUUUACCCCCGGAUCAACCCUGGUCAGAGAUGAGGUGACGAUCCUUUACCCCCGGAUCAACCCUGGUCAGAGAUGAGGUGACGAUCCUUUACCCCCGGAUCAACCCUGGUCAGAGAUGAGGUGACGAUCCUUUACCCCGGAUCAACCCUGGUCAGAGAUGAGGUGACGAUCCUUUACCCCCGGAUCAACCCUGGUCAGAGAUGAGGUGACGAUCCUUUACCCCGGAUCAACCCUGGUCAGAGAUGAGGUGACGGGCCUUUACCCCGGAUCAACCCUGGUCAGAGAUGAGGUGACGAUCCUUUACCCCCGGAUCAACCCUGGUCAGAGAUGAGGUGACGAUCCUUUACCCCCGGAUCAACCCUGGUCAGAGAUGAGGUGACGAUCCUUUACCCCCGGAUCAACCCUGGUCAGAGAUGAGGUGACGAUCCUUUACCCCCGGAUCAACCCUGGUCAGAGAUGAGGUGACGGGCCUUUACCCCGGAUCAACCCUGGUCAGAGAUGAGGUGACGAUCCUUUACCCCGGAUCAACCCUGGUCAGAGAUGAGGUGACGGGCCUUUACCCCGGAUCAACCCUGGUCAGAGAUGAGAUGAUGGGCCUUUCCCACGGAUCAACCCUUGUUAUCUCAGUGCAAAUACAACACUGGAAAACAAACAAGAGCUGGGUCUCUCCCACCACGUGACUUAAAA